RNAcentral lists this ribosomal RNA (419 nucleotides) under uncultured bacterium. Its description in RNAcentral is "bacterial SSU rRNA". It matches the Rfam family "Bacterial small subunit ribosomal RNA", at positions 358 to 774 of the family's 1533-position model. The record is from RNAcentral.
GGAAUAUUGGUCAAUGGGCGCGAGCAUGAACCAGCCAAGUAGCGUGCAGGACGACGGCCCUACGGGUUGUAAACUGCUUUUAUCAGGGGAUAAAGUGCGGGACGUGUCCCUCAUUGCAGGUACCUGAUGAAUAAGGACCGGCUAAUUCCGUGCCAGUAGCCGCGGUAAUACGGAAGGUCCGGGCGUUAUCCGGAUUUAGUGGGUUUAAAGGGAGCGCAGGCCGAAGAUUAAGCGUGACGUGAAAUGUCCCGGCUCAACCGGGGAGUUGCGUCGCGAACUGGUUUUCUUGAGUGAGUGCGAUGUAGGCUGAAUUCGUGGUGUAGCGGUGAAAUGCUUAGAUAUCACGAAGAACCCCGAUUGCGAAGGCAGCCUACUAGGCCUUUACUGACGCUAAAGCUCGAAAGUGCGGGUAUCGAACA